RNAcentral lists this non-coding RNA (207 nucleotides) under Paucilactobacillus oligofermentans. RNAcentral's name for it is "Lactobacillus oligofermentans T-box sequence". It matches the Rfam family "T-box leader". From Rfam's summary of the family: Uncharged tRNA acts as the effector for transcription antitermination of genes in the T-box leader family. T-boxes are found upstream of many aminoacyl-tRNA synthetase genes and some amino acid biosynthetic genes usually in Gram-positive bacteria. Lineage: Bacteria; Bacillati; Bacillota; Bacilli; Lactobacillales; Lactobacillaceae. The record is from RNAcentral.
CAAUGAGCAUUGAACAAGAGAGUAAGUAACUGGAUAGUGUUUAGGAAGAAGACAGCAGACUGAAAUGUCUUCCACGCCAGAAACUGAAAGUAACUUGUGAGCUGACGCACUGAACUCGAGUAAGUGUGUCCGGAGCAUUCCGUUAACAUGAUAAAGAGGGGGAUUUUUCCCCAAUUUAGGUGGUACCGCGAGAAAUUCGUCCUAUUC